Molecule: non-coding RNA, 107 nt
Organism: Colletotrichum fioriniae PJ7
Lineage: Eukaryota; Fungi; Ascomycota; Sordariomycetes; Glomerellales; Glomerellaceae
Source: Rfam
GGCGAAGUGCCAGAGUGGUUAAUGGGUUUGACUCGAAUUAACUCUGUAUUUUCAGAGCCUUCUAUCAAAUGGCUUCGGCCGCGCAAGUUCGAAUCUUGUCUUCGUCG